This 365-nucleotide ribosomal RNA is filed under the name Epixanthus frontalis. RNAcentral's name for it is "partial 16S large subunit ribosomal RNA". It matches the Rfam family "Bacterial large subunit ribosomal RNA", at positions 1960 to 2597 of the family's 2925-position model. The record is from RNAcentral. Lineage: Eukaryota; Metazoa; Arthropoda; Malacostraca; Decapoda; Oziidae.
CAUAAUCAUUAGUUUUUUAAUUGAGAACUUGUAUGAAGGAUCGGACAAAGGAAGAGCUGUCUCUAUUACAAAUAUUGAAUUUAACUUUUAAGUGAAAAGGCUUAAAUAGUUCAAGGGGACGAUAAGACCCUAUAAAGCAUUUUGUUGGGGCGAUAUAGGUAUAAUUAUUAACUACUUAAGUUUAGUACAAAGAUGGAUGGAUUGAUCCUUUCUAAAGAUUAUAAGACUAAGUUACUUUAGGGAUAACAGCGUAAUUCCUUUUGAGAGUUCAUAUCGAAAAAGGAGUUUGCGACCUCGAUGUUGAAUUAAAAUGUCUAUAUAAUGCAGCCGUUAUAUAAGAAGGUCUGUUCGACCUUUAAAGUUUU